UACCGUAGGGUGCAAGCGUUUAAUCGGAAUUACUGGGCGUAAAGCGUGCGUUAGGCGGUUUGUUAAGUCUGUCGUGAAAGCCCUGGGCUCAACCUGGGAAUUGCGAUGGAUACUGGCAAGCUAGAGUACGGUAGAGGAUCGCGGAAUUCCCGGUGUAGAGGUGAAAUUCGUAGAGAUCGGGAGGAACACCUGUGGCGAAGGCGGCCCCCCUGGGCCGGCCCUGACACUGGAGACGCGAAGGCGUGGGGAGCGAACGGG
Molecule: ribosomal RNA, 258 nt
Filed under: uncultured bacterium
Lineage: Bacteria
Description: partial 16S ribosomal RNA
Rfam family: Bacterial small subunit ribosomal RNA
Source: RNAcentral